Heterocephalus glaber (naked mole-rat) is the source of this 1151-nucleotide long non-coding RNA. The record is from Ensembl. Lineage: Eukaryota; Metazoa; Chordata; Mammalia; Rodentia; Bathyergidae.
CAUGCAGGCCCAUGAGUUAUGAGUUUAAUCCAUUUGCAUACAAACGCCGGGUCUACAAAGCUGUUUCUCUUUCCUUGGUCUCUUGACUGAGUUCCAGAUUUCUAUAUUCACUGCAUAUUAUGGAUGUCUUAAAGUGAGCACUACCCAAAUCUCUCUGCAUCAGGGCACUCAGAAAUGGACGUAUUACAGGUAUUCACUGAUCUUGCACCCCACCCACGUAUUUCAGUACCACAACAGCUGUUGGCCAAGCAGCAGUAACGAUACAGCUUGUGUCCACACAAAAAUUUCCAGACCACUUAUCAGCAGUUUAGAAGAAAAUCUUGGAAUCAAUAGUAGAGUGCUCCUUUUUUUUUCUUUUCUUUUUCAGGGCUGAAUAUUGAAACCAGGGCCUCCUGGAUGUAAGAAAAGCACUUUAUCACCAAGGUAUAUCCCAGCCCUGGAGCAGCCUUUUAAGAGGCACUUCAUCACUAACACUUGCUGGAACAGGGCUUUCAUUCAACAAAUAUUUCUGAGCACCUACUUUAUACCAAGGACUUUUCUGGAAAGCGAAGAUAAGAUCUGAGCCUGUCUAGUCCAUUGGAGGAUGAACAUGCCUGGUGACAAGUGACAGAGUUGAGAAGACAUUGACUGAUGGUGUGUAUGAGUGCACUGUGGUUGCAAGCAGCACCCAUGUUGUGCCAGGAGGAGAGGUUGAUCUUGGAUCACCUGACUAGCUGAGCAUCAAGUAAACUGCCUGUCUUCUGGGUAGGGGCCAUGAGGUCAAUGGAUUUGUUCUGCCACAUGUUUCUGCCAUGAUGUGGCCUCACCACAGAUCUAAAGGAGUCCACUGAUUAUAAGAUGCACCACUGCAAUUCGACACAACACUGGGAGUCAGACAUGUAUUGGAGGCACAUUAAAACAGGAGAAAAAUAUGCAUCUUAGGCUUGAUGCAAUGCAGAAACAGCUGAAAACUGCUGAGCCUUCUCCAUGAACCAGGCAAGAUCGGGUUUAUCUCAUCAAACAUCUUCACCAGUGAUGCUUGCUACAACGACGAGACCUGUUAUCAGCUCCAGUGUACGAUGAGGACAAGUGAGAUUCAGCCAGGUUAAGUAACUCACAAAGGUCUCAUGGCUCCAAAAUGGCAGAGAAGGGAAUGAGCAAGAGGCCCCCAG